AUACUCUCAACCUUCUUGGUUUCUUUGACCAGGAAGGCUUGGACUUUGGAGGUUUUUCUUGCUGGCCUUCUUUUGAAGCCAGCUCCUCCUAAAUGAAUCGGUGGGGUCCGCUUUGCUGAUCCUUGACGUGAUAAGCAUUUCUUCUACGUCAAGUCAGCUCGGAACCUGCUUUCUAACCUUUGAGUUACAGCGUAACUCGACCCUCAUAAA
This 210-nucleotide unclassified non-coding RNA is filed under the name uncultured Russula. RNAcentral describes it as "sequence contains ITS2". Lineage: Eukaryota; Fungi; Basidiomycota; Agaricomycetes; Russulales; Russulaceae. The record is from RNAcentral.